This 1123-nucleotide ribosomal RNA is filed under the name uncultured bacterium. Its description in RNAcentral is "bacterial SSU rRNA". It matches the Rfam family "Bacterial small subunit ribosomal RNA", at positions 47 to 1162 of the family's 1533-position model. The record is from RNAcentral.
AUUGAUUUUAUGCUUGCAUAAAUGAUUUUUGGAUUCGGAGCGAGUGGCGAACUGGUGAGUAACACGUGGGUAACCUGCCCCGAAGCGGGGGAUAACAUUUGGAAACAAGUGCUAAUACCGCAUAAUUAGUUGGAACCGCAUGGUUCCGACUUGAAAGAUGGCUCUGCUAUCACUUUGGGAUGGACCCGCGCCGUAUUAGUUAGUUGGUGAGAUAAAAGCCCACCAAGACGAUGAUACGUAGCCGACCUGAGAGGGUAAUCGGCCACAUUGGGACUGAGACACGGCCCAGACUCCUACGGGAGGCAGCAGUAGGGAAUCUUCCACAAUGGACGAAAGUCUGAUGGAGCAACGCCGCGUGAGUGAUGAAGGUUUUCGGAUCGUAAAACUCUGUUGUUAAAGAAGAACAAGUGUUAGAGUAACUGUUAACACUUUGACGGUAUUUAACCAGAAAGCCACGGCUAACUACGUGCCAGCAGCCGCGGUAAUACGUAGGUGGCAAGCGUUGUCCGGAUUUAUUGGGCGUAAAGCGAGCGCAGGCGGUUUUGUAAGUCUGCUGUGAAAGCCCUCAGCUCAACUGAGGAAGUGCAGUGGAAACUACAAAACUUGAGUACAGAAGAGGAAAGUGGAACUCCAUGUGUAGCGGUGAAAUGCGUAGAUAUAUGGAAGAACACCAGUGGCGAAGGCGGCUUUCUGGUCUGUUACUGACGCUGAGGCUCGAAAGCAUGGGUAGCGAACAGGAUUAGAUACCCUGGUAGUCCAUGCCGUAAACGAUGAAUACUAGGUGUUGGAGGGUUUCCGCCCUUCAGUGCCGCAGCUAACGCAUUAAGUAUUCCGCCUGGGGAGUACGACCGCAAGGUUGAAACUCAAAGGAAUUGACGGGGGCCCGCACAAGUGGUGGAGCAUGUGGUUUAAUUCGAUGCUACGCGAAGAACCUUACCAGCUCUUGACAUCUUCUGCCAACCCAAGAGAUUGGGCGUUCCCUUCGGGGACAGAAUGACAGGUGGUGCAUGGCUGUCGUCAGCUCGUGUCGUGAGAUGUUGGGUUAAGUCCCGCAACGAGCGCAACCCUUAUUAUUAGUUGCCAGCAUUUAGUUGGGCACUCUAGUGAGACUGCCGGUGAUAAA